GACGAACGCUGGCGGCAUGCCUAAUACAUGCAAGUCGAGCGAACAGAUGAAGUGCUUGCACUUCUGACGUUAGCGGCGAACGGGUGAGUAACACGUAAGGAAUCUACCUAUAAGCGGGGGAUAACAUUCGGAAACGGGUGCUAAUACCGCAUAAUAUCUUCUUCCGCAUGGAAGGAGAUUGAAAGACGGCUCUGCUGUCACUUAUAGAUGACCUUGCGGUGCAUUAGUUAGUUGGUGGGGUAACGGCCUACCAAGACGAUGAUGCAUAGCCGACCUGAGAGUGUGAUCGGCCACAUUGGGACUGAGACACGGCCCAAACUCCUACGGGAGGCAGCAGUAGGGAAUCUUCCGCAAUGGGCGAAAGCCUGACGGAGCAAUGCCGCGUGAGUGAAGAAGGCCUUCGGGUCGUAAAACUCUGCUAUAAGAGAAGAACAAAUUGUAGAGUAACUGCUACAGUCUUGGCGGUAUCUUAUCAGAAAGCCACGGCUAACUACGUGCCAGCCGCCGCGGUAA
Molecule: ribosomal RNA, 513 nt
Filed under: uncultured bacterium
Lineage: Bacteria
Description: partial 16S ribosomal RNA
Rfam family: Bacterial small subunit ribosomal RNA
Source: RNAcentral